RNAcentral lists this ribosomal RNA (429 nucleotides) under Acidobacteriota bacterium. RNAcentral describes it as "Acidobacteria bacterium partial 16S ribosomal RNA". It matches the Rfam family "Bacterial small subunit ribosomal RNA", at positions 355 to 776 of the family's 1533-position model. Lineage: Bacteria; Pseudomonadati; Acidobacteriota. The record is from RNAcentral.
UGGGGAAUUUUGGACAAUGGGCGAAAGCCUGAUCCAGCAAUGCCGCGUGUGUGAAGAAGGCCUUCGGGUUGUAAAGCACUUUUGUCCGGAAAGAAAUGGCUCUGGUUAAUACCUGGGGUCGAUGACGGUACCGGAAGAAUAAGGACCGGCUAACUACGUGCCAGCAGCCGCGGUAAUACGUAGGGUCCAAGCGUUAAUCGGAAUUACUGGGCGUAAAGCGUGCGCAGGCGGUUGUGCAAGACCGAUGUGAAAUCCCCGAGCUUAACUUGGGAAUUGCAUUGGUGAAUGCACGGCUAGGGUGUGUCAGAGGGGGGUAGAAUUCCACGUGUAGCAGUGAAAUGCGUAGAGAUGUGGAGGAAUACCGAUGGCGAAGGCAGCCCCCUGGGAUAACACUGACGCUCAUGCACGAAAGCGUGGGGAGCAAACAGG